This 400-nucleotide ribosomal RNA is filed under the name uncultured soil bacterium. RNAcentral describes it as "bacterial SSU rRNA". It matches the Rfam family "Bacterial small subunit ribosomal RNA", at positions 27 to 407 of the family's 1533-position model. The record is from RNAcentral.
GGGACGAACGCUGGCGGCGUGCUUAACACAUGCAAGUCGAGCGGUAAGGCCUUUCGGGGUACACGAGCGGCGAACGGGUGAGUAACACGUGGGUGAUCUGCCCUGCACUCUGAGAUAAGCUUGGGAAACUGGGUCUAAUACCGGAUAUGACCACAGUGCGCAUGUGUUGUGGUGGAAAGAUUUAUCGGUGCAGGAUGGGCCCGCGGCCUAUCAGCUUGUUGGUGGGGUAAUGGCCUACCAAGGCGACGACGGGUAGCCGACCUGAGAGGUGACCGGCCACACUGGGACUGAGACACCGGGCCCAGACCUCCGUACGGGAGGACAGGCGAGGUGGGGGAAACUUAGUUGGACAACGAAGUGGGGACGGAAGCCUGGAUGCAGGCCGACGGCCGCGUGAGGG